UGGAGGUGCUGGAGAUCUAGCCCAGGGCCUUUCACGUGCAAGUCGAGCGCUCUACCACUGAGCUACACCCCC
Araneus ventricosus is the source of this 72-nucleotide non-coding RNA. The record is from the annotation of a GenBank genome assembly. Lineage: Eukaryota; Metazoa; Arthropoda; Arachnida; Araneae; Araneidae.